Molecule: ribosomal RNA, 450 nt
Filed under: uncultured bacterium
Lineage: Bacteria
Description: partial 16S ribosomal RNA
Rfam family: Bacterial small subunit ribosomal RNA
Source: RNAcentral
GUGGGGAAUAUUGGACAAUGGGCGAAAGCCUGAUCCAGCCAUGCCGCGUGUGUGAAGAAGGUCUUCGGAUUGUAAAGCACUUUAAGUUGGGAGGAAGGGCAGUAAGUUAAUACCUUGCUGUUUUGACGUUACCGACAGAAUAAGCACCGGCUAACUUCGUGCCAGCAGCCGCGGUAAUACGAAGGGUGCAAGCGUUAAUCGGAAUUACUGGGCGUAAAGCGCGCGUAGGUGGUUUUGUAAGUUGGAGGUGAAAUCCCCGGGCUCAACCUGGGAACUGCCUCCAAAACUGCAUGACUAGAGUACGGUAGAGGGUAGUGGAAUUUCCGGUGUAGCGGUGAAAUGCGUAGAUAUAGGAAGGAACACCAGUGGCGAAGGCGACUACCUGGACUGAUACUGACACUGAGGUGCGAAAGCGUGGGGAGCAAACAGGAUUAGAAACCCUUGUAGUCC